CCCUUAGAUGUUCUGGGCCGCACGCGCGCUACACUGACUACUUCAACGAGUUGUUUCCUUGAUCGAAAGGUCUGGGUAAUCUUUGAAAGGUAGUCGUGAUGGGGAUAGAUCCUUGCAAUUUUUGAUCUUCAACGAGGAAUUCCUAGUAAACGCAAGUCAUCAGCUUGCAUUGAUUACGUCCCUGCCCUUUGUACACACCGCCCGUCGCACCUACCGAUUGAAUGGUCCGGUGAAUCUUUAGGACUGUGGCUGAGGCCUUGCCUUGUGCGGGUCUGGCCGUGGGAAUUUAGUUAAACCUUACCAUUUAGAGGAAGGAGAAGUCGUANCA
This 328-nucleotide ribosomal RNA is filed under the name uncultured eukaryote. RNAcentral describes it as "partial 18S ribosomal RNA". It matches the Rfam family "Eukaryotic small subunit ribosomal RNA", at positions 1470 to 1796 of the family's 1831-position model. The record is from RNAcentral.